Molecule: ribosomal RNA, 465 nt
Filed under: uncultured bacterium
Lineage: Bacteria
Description: bacterial SSU rRNA
Rfam family: Bacterial small subunit ribosomal RNA
Source: RNAcentral
GGGCCCGCACAAGCGGAGGAACAUGUGGUUUAAUUCGAUGAUACGCGAGGAACCUUACCCGGGCUUGAAAUGCAGAGGAAUAACUUGGAAACAGGUUAGUCAGCAAUGACCUCUGUGUAGGUGCUGCAUGGUUGUCGUCAGCUCGUGCCGUGAGGUGUCGGCUUAAGUGCCAUAACGAGCGCAACCCUUGUCAUUAGUUACUAACAGGUUAAGCUGAGGACUCUAAUGAGACUGCCACCGUAAGGUGUGAGGAAGGUGGGGAUGACGUCAAAUCAGCACGGCCCUUACGUCCGGGGCGACACACGUGUUACAAUGGGGGGUACAGAAAGCAGCUACUUGGCGACAAGAUGCUAAUCUCCAAAACCUCUCUCAGUUCGGAUCGGAGUCUGCAACUCGACUCCGUGAAGCUGGAUUCGCUAGUAAUCGCGCAUCAGCCAUGGCGCGGUGAAUACGUUCCCGGGCCUU